GAAUAUCUUAGCGGCGGACGGGUGAGUAACGCGUGAGAAACCUGCCUUCUACAAAGGGAUAGCCUUGGGAAACCGGGAUUAAUACCUUAUGAAACUUAUAGAUCGCAUGAUUUAAAAGUUAAAGCGUAAAGCGGUGAAAGAUGGUCUCGCGUCCCAUUAGUUUGUUGGUAAGGUAGAAGCUUACCAAGACGUCGAUGGGUAGCCGGCCUGAGAGGGUGAACGGCCACACUGGAACUGAGACACGGUCCAGACUCCUACGGGAGGCAGCAGGUGGGGAAUAUUGCACAAUGGGAAGGAGACUCUGAUGCAGCGACGCCGCGUAGAACGACGAAGGCCUUCGGGUCGUAAAGUUCUGUCCGUUGGGGACGAUAAUGACGGUACCCAAGGAGGAAGCCCCGGCUAACUACGUGCCAGCCGCGGC
RNAcentral lists this ribosomal RNA (421 nucleotides) under uncultured bacterium. Its description in RNAcentral is "bacterial SSU rRNA". It matches the Rfam family "Bacterial small subunit ribosomal RNA", at positions 85 to 518 of the family's 1533-position model. The record is from RNAcentral.